RNAcentral lists this long non-coding RNA (219 nucleotides) under Vombatus ursinus (common wombat). RNAcentral's name for it is "lncRNA (ENSVURG00010008235.1)". The record is from RNAcentral. Lineage: Eukaryota; Metazoa; Chordata; Mammalia; Diprotodontia; Vombatidae.
GGUGAAUAUGAACAGAAAAAAGAUGAAGGAAUCAAUGAAAUCAUUGACCAGGAAAGCACAAAAGAAGGAUAUGAAUGCAAGGAAUGUGAUAACAACGAACUGCAACAAAAAUUGGCCAAGACCAUUUUGGAAAUUAUGAAUUAUAAUGGUGAGUUUCAUAAAAUUAAUUGCUUUUUUGUACAUUUCAUGAUAUAUGUUAUCUUUAGAGUAAUGAUGAAG